RNAcentral lists this ribosomal RNA (253 nucleotides) under uncultured bacterium. RNAcentral describes it as "partial 16S ribosomal RNA". It matches the Rfam family "Bacterial small subunit ribosomal RNA", at positions 524 to 776 of the family's 1533-position model. The record is from RNAcentral.
UACGGGGGGGGCAAGCGUUGUUCGGAAUUACUGGGCGUAAAGGGCUCGUAGGCGGCCAACUAAGUCAGACGUGAAAUCCCUCGGCUUAACCGGGGAACUGCGUCUGAUACUGGAUGGCUUGAGUUUGUGAGAGGGAUGCGGAAUUCCAGGUGUAGCGGUGAAAUGCGUAGAUAUCUGGAGGAACACCGGUGGCGAAGGCGGCAUCCUGGACCAAUACUGACGCUGAGGAGCGAAAGCCAGGGGAGCAAACGGG